GGGUCGGAACUUCGGUUCCGGCUUACGUGGCGCACGGGUGAGUAACACGUGGGAAUCUGCCCAUCUAUGGGGAAUAACUGCGGGAAACUGCAGCUAAUACCGCAUACGCCCUUCGGGGGAAAGGCUUCGGCCGUAGAUGGAUGAGCCCGCGUCCGAUUAGCUAGUUGGUGGGGUAAUGGCCUACCAAGGCGACGAUCGGUAGCUGGUCUGAGAGGAUGAUCAGCCACACUGGGACUGAGACACGGCCCAGACUCCUACGGGAGGCAGCAGUGGGGAAUAUUGGACAAUGGGCGAAAGCCUGAUCCAGCAAUGCCGCGUGAGUGAUGAAGGUCUUCGGAUUGUAAAGCUCUUUCGACGGGGAAGAUAAUGACGGUACCCGUAGAAGAAGCCCCGGCUAACUUCGUGCCAGCAGCCGCGGUAAUACGAAGGGGGCUAGCGUUGUUCGGAUUUACUGGGCGUAAAGCGUGCGUAGGCGGCUUAUCAAGUCAGAAGUGAAAGCCCGGGGCUCAACUCCGGAAUGGCUUUUGAGACUGGUAGGCUGGAGUUCGGGAGAGGGUAGUGGAAUUCCCAGUGUAGAGGUGAAAUUCGUAGAUAUUGGGAAGAACACCGGUGGCG
RNAcentral lists this ribosomal RNA (615 nucleotides) under uncultured bacterium. Its description in RNAcentral is "bacterial SSU rRNA". It matches the Rfam family "Bacterial small subunit ribosomal RNA", at positions 69 to 717 of the family's 1533-position model. The record is from RNAcentral.